GACGAACGCUGGCGGCGUGCUUAACACAUGCAAGUCGAACGGGAGUAUUGAAGAAGCUUGCUUUAGAGAUACUUUAGUGGCGGACGGGUGAGUAACGCGUGAGGAGCUGUCCGAUGCAGGGGGACAACAGUUGGAAACGACUGCUAAUACCCCAUAAGCCGAGAGGUAAAAGGAUUUAUCCGGCAAUGGAGGUACUCGCGUCCUAUCAGCUAGUAGGUGAGGUAACGGCUCACCUAGGCGAAGACGGGUAGCCGGCCUGAGAGGGCGAACGGCCACACUGGAACUGAGAUACGGUCCAGACUCCUACGGGAGGCAGCAGUGGGGAAUAUUGGGCAAUGGGGGGAACCCUGACCCAGCGACGCCGCGUGGGUGAAGAAAUCCUUCGGGAUGUAAAGCCCUGUUGUAUGGGAAGAGCGGAAGACGGUACCAUACGAGGAAGCCCCGGCAAGCUACGUG
RNAcentral lists this ribosomal RNA (456 nucleotides) under uncultured bacterium. RNAcentral's name for it is "bacterial SSU rRNA". It matches the Rfam family "Bacterial small subunit ribosomal RNA", at positions 28 to 507 of the family's 1533-position model. The record is from RNAcentral.